This 74-nucleotide transfer RNA is filed under the name Parvimonas micra. RNAcentral describes it as "tRNA-Trp (CCA) (tRNA-Trp-CCA-1-1)". It matches the Rfam family "tRNA". From Rfam's summary of the family: Transfer RNA (tRNA) molecules are approximately 80 nucleotides in length. Their secondary structure includes four short double-helical elements and three loops (D, anti-codon, and T loops). The record is from RNAcentral. Lineage: Bacteria; Bacillati; Bacillota; Tissierellia; Tissierellales; Peptoniphilaceae. RNAcentral also lists the same sequence under 11 other names.
AGGGGUAUAGUUCAACGGUAGAAUGUCGGUCUCCAAAACCGCUGAUGAGGGUUCGAUUCCUUCUACCCCUGCCA